RNAcentral lists this ribosomal RNA (443 nucleotides) under Cheiracanthium mildei. RNAcentral's name for it is "partial 16S ribosomal RNA". Lineage: Eukaryota; Metazoa; Arthropoda; Arachnida; Araneae; Cheiracanthiidae. The record is from RNAcentral.
UAUUAAUAGUUAUAAUUAUUAAUAUAAUCUGCUCCAUGAUAAAUUAAAUAGCCGCAAAGUUCACUUUGUGCUAAGGUAGCAUAAUCAUUUGUCUUUUAAUUAAAGACUAGAAUAAAAGAUAUUACAUUUCAAUUAAAUAAUAUUUAAUUUUAAUUUUUUAAAUUCUUUUAAAUGUAAAAAAACAUUUAUUUAUUAAAAAGACAAUAAGACCCUAUUGAAUUUUAUUAAAAUUUAACUGGGGCAGUUAAUCAAUUAUUAUUUUAAUUAAAACUUUUAAAAAUUGAUCUAAUUAAAUUAAAAAGAUCAAAUUACCCUAGGGAUAACAGCAUAAUAUAUUUUUAAAGAUCUUAUACAAAAAAAUGAUUAUGACCUCGAUGUUGAAUAAUAUACUAAAUUAAGUAAAUGUUUUAAUAGAAAGUCUGUUCGACUUAUAACUAAUUACA